Molecule: long non-coding RNA, 408 nt
Organism: Rhipicephalus microplus (southern cattle tick)
Lineage: Eukaryota; Metazoa; Arthropoda; Arachnida; Ixodida; Ixodidae
Source: RefSeq, a predicted model, not a curated record
GGGGAAAGACACCACGUCGACAAUGGAGCGCUUACCAUUCAUACUGUUCCAACUGCCCCAUUCAACCAGCCCAUCGUACUUCAGCCCCACAAGGCCAUCUGCCCACCUCCUGCGUGCACCAGAGCGCACCAUCAUUCCUUUUUUUGCUCAGGCGGCCAGGCCCUAGAACGAUCUUCGCUUAAGUGUCAUCGACCAUUCCAAAACAGAUAAAUUUAGGAAUGCAAUAGAAUAAUUUUUCGAUUAACUCUACAUUGUUUGCACACAUCCUCGUGUAAAGCCCUCUGUAGAGGGCCUUCGAGGUAUAAUAAAUAAAAAUUAAUAAAUAAACAGUUUGGGUUUGUUGGUUUCACAUGAUGGGUGGCAACAAUAUUGAUUACAUUUUUUCAUUAAUAAAUGACUGCAGUUCAA